UACAGAGGGUGCGAGCGUUAAUCGGAAUUACUGGGCGUAAAGCGUGCGUAGGCGGUCGUGUAAGUCGGGUGUGAAAGCCCCGGGCUCAACCUUGGAAUUGCAUUCGAGACUGCCCGGCUUGAGUGCGGGAGAGGGAAGUGGAAUUUCCGGUGUAGAGGUGAAAUGCGUAAAUAUCGGGAAGAACAUCAGUGGCGAAAGCGGCUCACUGGUCCGGAACUGACGCUCAGGUGCGAAAGCGUGGGGAGCAAACAGU
RNAcentral lists this ribosomal RNA (253 nucleotides) under uncultured bacterium. RNAcentral's name for it is "partial 16S ribosomal RNA". It matches the Rfam family "Bacterial small subunit ribosomal RNA", at positions 524 to 776 of the family's 1533-position model. The record is from RNAcentral.